Molecule: ribosomal RNA, 227 nt
Filed under: uncultured bacterium
Lineage: Bacteria
Description: partial 16S ribosomal RNA
Rfam family: Bacterial small subunit ribosomal RNA
Source: RNAcentral
GACGAACGCUGGCGGCGUGCCUAACACAUGCAAGUCGAACGGAGUUAUCGAAAGCUUGCUUUUGAUAACUUAGUGGCGGACGGGUGAGUAACGCGUGAGCAACCUGCCUUUCAGUGGGGAAUAACGUUCUGAAAAGAACGCUAAUACCGCAUAAUAUUAUUGAGUCACAUGAUUUGAUAAUCAAAGGAUUUAUUCGCUGAAAGAUGGGCUCGCGUCCGAUUAGAUAG